RNAcentral lists this long non-coding RNA (553 nucleotides) under Phoenix dactylifera (date palm). Its description in RNAcentral is "long non-coding RNA (PDAC_LNC004765)". The record is from RNAcentral. Lineage: Eukaryota; Viridiplantae; Streptophyta; Magnoliopsida; Arecales; Arecaceae.
UAUCAAAUACUAAGCAAAAAUAAUGAUGAGAUGCAAGGAUUACUGAUUUUUGUUAAUAACUUUUCAUAAGUAUAUUUUAAGUUUCUUUUGUUCCAUGGGUAUCUUGGUACACCUAUGUGUUCAUCCUCAUUUUCUUAUUUUGGGUACCCAAGCCUGCUUGGGUCCUUGAGAGUUAGGACAUAUGGUUCCUUUUGGAACCCAUAUCUGUUUAAUAUUAAUAACUUUACCAUUUGAUUUAAUUGUGUUAGAACGAUAGGUAAAGUUGUUAUGCCCAUUCUUUUCGUUUUUGAAAUAAGUUAUCUUAUUUAAUGGUUUGUUUGGUGAAUUAAUAACCUUUUUCUCUAGAGAUUUAUUGUUAAGUAAAGAAGUCAAGCCAAGUUUUGAUUUAUCAUAAGUAACAUAUUGGCUUUCAAACAUCAUUUUUAAUCGUUCUGAACUUACGGUGAAUUUGUUAAUAAAAGAUUUUAAUUGAUUAAUUUCUUUACUUAAGUUUUGAUUUUCUUUAAUUAAGCUAUGAUUUUUCUGAAUCAAUUCUUCUGAAAAUGACCUUAAN